RNAcentral lists this ribosomal RNA (253 nucleotides) under uncultured bacterium. RNAcentral describes it as "partial 16S ribosomal RNA". It matches the Rfam family "Bacterial small subunit ribosomal RNA", at positions 524 to 776 of the family's 1533-position model. The record is from RNAcentral.
UACGUAGGGGGCAAGCGUUGUCCGGAUUUAUUGGGCGUAAAGAGCGUGUAGGCGGCCAAACAGGUCAGCUGUGAAAACUCGAGGCUCAACCUCGAGACGUCGGUUGAAACCGUUUGGCUAGAGUCCGGAAGAGGAGAGUGGAAUUCUCGGUGUAGCGGUGAAAUGCGUAGAUAUCGAGAGGAACACCUGCGGCGAAGGCGGGUUGCUGGGCUGACACUGACGCUGAGGCGCGAAAGCGUGGGGAGCGAACAGG